Molecule: long non-coding RNA, 106 nt
Organism: Saccostrea echinata
Lineage: Eukaryota; Metazoa; Mollusca; Bivalvia; Ostreida; Ostreidae
Exons: 3
Source: RefSeq, a predicted model, not a curated record
CAUCAAUUUCUCCACUGGCUACUCCCAAACAAUUUGAACAAUUCAUUCAGGCAGCAAGUGUUUCCACCAAUAAAAUAAAAAGAAUUGAUUUCAUCCAGAAGAACUG